AGCAGCCGCGGUAAUUCCAGCUCCAAUAGCGUAUAUUAAAGUUGUUGCAGUUAAAAAGCUCGUAGUUGAAUUUCGGGGUUAGCAGGUCGGUCGUGCCAUCGGUAUGAACUGGUCUCGCUGAUCCCUCCCUCUUGACGAACUGUGAUGCCAUUAAUUUGGUGUCGCAGGGAAUCAGGACUGUUACUUUGAAAAAAGUUAGAGUGUUUAAAGCAGGCUCACGCUUGAAUACAUUAGCAUGGAAUAAUGAAAUAGGACGUUUGAUCCUAUUUUGUUGGCUUCUAGGAUUGACGUAAUGAUUAAUAGGGAUAGUUGGGGGCAUUAGUAUUCAAUUGUCAGAGGUGAAAUUCUUGGAUUUAUUGAAGACUAACUACUGCGAAAGCAUUUGCCAAGGAUGUUUUCAUUAAUCAAGAACGAAAGUUAGGGGAUCGAAGACGAUCAGAUACCGUCGUAGUCUUAACCAUAAACUAUGCCGACUAGGGAUCGGAUGAUGUUAAUUUUUUCAAUGACUCAUUCGGCGCCU
RNAcentral lists this ribosomal RNA (520 nucleotides) under uncultured Glomus. RNAcentral's name for it is "SSU rRNA". It matches the Rfam family "Eukaryotic small subunit ribosomal RNA", at positions 569 to 1088 of the family's 1831-position model. The record is from RNAcentral. Lineage: Eukaryota; Fungi; Glomeromycota; Glomeromycetes; Glomerales; Glomeraceae.